GACGAACGCUGGCGGCGUGCCUAAUACAUGCAAGUCGAACGAGCGGCGGACGGGUGAGUAAUGUAUGGGGACUGCCCGAUAGAGGGGGAUAACUACUGGAAACGGUGGCUAAUAACGCAUACUAUCGGAUAACCCAUAUGGGAUUAGCUCGUAGGUGGGGUAAAGGCUCACCUAGGCGACGAUCUCUAGCUGGUCUGAGAGGAUGAUCAGCCACAAUUGGAAUGAGACACGGCCCAGACUCCUACGGAGGCAGCAGUGGGGAAUAUUGCACAAUGGGCGCAAGCCUGAUGCAGCCAUGCCGCGUGUAUGAAUAAGGCCUUAGGGUUGUAAAGUACUUGCAGCGGGGAGGCGUUACCCGCAGAAGAAGCACCGGCUAACUCCGUGCCAGCAGCCGCGGUAAUAC
This 403-nucleotide ribosomal RNA is filed under the name uncultured bacterium. RNAcentral describes it as "partial 16S ribosomal RNA". It matches the Rfam family "Bacterial small subunit ribosomal RNA", at positions 28 to 526 of the family's 1533-position model. The record is from RNAcentral.